GUUAGGAAUUUUGGGCAAUGGGGGCAACCCUGACCCAGCAACGCCGCGUGGGUGAUGAAGGCCUUCGGGUCGUAAAGCCCUUUUCCAGGGGAAGAUGAUGACGGUACCCUGGGAAGAAGCCCCGGCUAACUACGUGCCAGCAGCCGCGGUAAUACGUAGGGGGCAAGCGUUGUCCGGAUUUAUUGGGCGUAAAGCGCUCGCAGGCGGCCUGAUGCGUCGUGCGUGAAACACCCCGGCUCAACUGGGGAGGGUCGUGCGAUACGGUCAGGCUCGAGGCCAGUAGGGGGAUGCGGAAUUCCGGGUGUAGUGGUGGAAUGCGUAGAGAUCCGGAGGAACACCAGCGGCGAAGGCGGCAUCCUGGACUGGUUCUGACGCUCAGGAGCGAAAGCGUGGGGAGCGAUCCGGAUUAGAUACCCUUGUAGUCC
Molecule: ribosomal RNA, 425 nt
Filed under: uncultured bacterium
Lineage: Bacteria
Description: bacterial SSU rRNA
Rfam family: Bacterial small subunit ribosomal RNA
Source: RNAcentral